UCAAACUUGGUCAUUUAGAGGAAGUAAAAGUCGUAACAAGGUUUCCGUAGGUGAACCUGCGGAAGGAUCAUUAACGUGCCCCUGGGGCGCUCCGGCGGUCCCCGGAACUCCGGGCCCGGCCGGGUGCGUCCUUAGGCUCAACCGUGUCUACUGUACUUGUUGCUUCGGCGGGUCUCCGGGGCCCCCCCGCCGAAGACCCCCCUGAACCCCCAGUGAAUGUUGGCGGUCUGAGUGGUAUUGAAUCGUUAAAACUUUCAACAACGGAUCUCUUGGUUCCGGCAUCGAUGAAGAACGCAGC
This 298-nucleotide unclassified non-coding RNA is filed under the name uncultured fungus. RNAcentral's name for it is "partial contains small subunit ribosomal RNA, internal transcribed spacer 1, and 5.8S ribosomal RNA". The stretch from base 1 to 73 matches the Rfam family "Eukaryotic small subunit ribosomal RNA", at positions 1759 to 1831 of the family's 1831-position model. The record is from RNAcentral. Lineage: Eukaryota; Fungi.